GAGAGAGGCCCGCUCGCAAUGAAGGUUGCUAACCUUUAUCCCCAGGGUUGGACUCCCUGGCUUUCCUC
RNAcentral lists this transfer RNA (68 nucleotides) under Pseudolabrus sieboldi. RNAcentral's name for it is "tRNA-Ser". The record is from RNAcentral. Lineage: Eukaryota; Metazoa; Chordata; Actinopteri; Labriformes; Labridae.